Molecule: ribosomal RNA, 253 nt
Filed under: uncultured bacterium
Lineage: Bacteria
Description: partial 16S ribosomal RNA
Rfam family: Bacterial small subunit ribosomal RNA
Source: RNAcentral
UACAGAGGUCCCAAGCGUUGUUCGGAUUCACUGGGCGUAAAGGGUGCGUAGGUGGUGAGGUAAGUCUGAUGUGAAAGCUCCGAGCUUAACUCGGAAAUGGCAUUGGAUACUAUCUCGCUAGAGGUUUGGAGGGGGGACUGGAAUUGCCGGUGUAGCAGUGAAAUGCGUAGAUAUCGGUAGGAACACCAGUGGCGAAAGCGAGUCCCUGGACAACACCUGACACUGAGGCACGAAAGCUAGGGGAGCAAACAGG